GUCCACGCCGUAAACGAUGUCUACUAGCCGUUGGGUUCCUUGAGGACUUAGUGGCGCAGCUAACGCAAUAAGUAGACCGCCUGGGGAGUACGGUCGCAAGAUUAAAACUCAAAUGAAUUGACGGGGGCCCGCACAAGCGGUGGAGCAUGUGGUUUAAUUCGACGCAACGCGAAGAACCUUACCAGGUCUUGACAUCCAGAGAACUUUCCAGAGAUGGAUUGGUGCCUUCGGGAACUCUGAGACAGGUGCUGCAUGGCU
This 258-nucleotide ribosomal RNA is filed under the name uncultured bacterium. RNAcentral describes it as "partial 16S ribosomal RNA". It matches the Rfam family "Bacterial small subunit ribosomal RNA", at positions 793 to 1050 of the family's 1533-position model. The record is from RNAcentral.